Molecule: ribosomal RNA, 253 nt
Filed under: uncultured Actinomycetes bacterium
Lineage: Bacteria; Bacillati; Actinomycetota; Actinomycetes
Description: uncultured actinobacterium partial 16S ribosomal RNA
Rfam family: Bacterial small subunit ribosomal RNA
Source: RNAcentral
GAUGAACGCUGGCGGCGUGCUUAACACAUGCAAGUCGAACGGGAUCGGCUGGAGCUUGCUCCGGCCGUGAGAGUGGCGAACGGGUGAGUAAUGCGUGACCGACCUGCCCCAUACACCGGAAUAGCUCCUGGAAACGGGUGGUAAUGCCGGAUGCUCCAGUUGGAUGCAUGUCCUUCUGGGAAAGAUUCAUCGGUAUGGGGAUGGGGGUCGCGUCCUAUCAGCUUGAUGGCGGGGUAACGGCCCACCAUGGCUU